This 449-nucleotide ribosomal RNA is filed under the name uncultured soil bacterium. RNAcentral describes it as "bacterial SSU rRNA". It matches the Rfam family "Bacterial small subunit ribosomal RNA", at positions 26 to 518 of the family's 1533-position model. The record is from RNAcentral.
AGAGCGAACGCUGGCGGCAGGCCUAACACAUGCAAGUCGAACGCACCGCAAGGUGAGUGGCAGACGGGUGAGUAACGCGUGGGAACGUGCCCUUUGGCACGGAAUAGCUCGGGGAAACCUGAGGUAAUACCGUAUGUGCCCUUCGGGGGAAAGAUUUAUCGCCAAAGGAUCGGCCCGCGUCGGAUUAGCUAGUUGGUGAGGUAACGGCUCACCAAGGCUACGAUCCGUAGCUGGUCUGAGAGGAUGAUCAGCCACACUGGGACUGAGACACGGCCCAGACUCCUACGGGAGGCAGCAGUGGGGAAUAUUGGACAAAUGGGCGCAAGCCUGAUCCAGCCAUGCCGCGUGAGUGGUGAAGGCCGUUAGGGUUGUAAAGCUCUUCUAGCGGGGAAGAUAAUGAACAUUACCCGCAAGAAGAAAGCCCGGCUAACCUUACUGCCAGCAGCCGC